UAUGGUUUUGACAGUGAAAAAAUAAUAAUCUGUUUCUAGUUUUCUCACUUAGUAAUGUAUAAAUAUUGUCAAAUCUAUGAAACUCUAGUAAAGUACUGCUUGUUUUUGAUGUUUUGCUUUUCGUAACAUUCUGACAGUGUUUAUUUAUUUUUUUCUUAAUAUUUUCCUUUUUUCUAUUUUCAGUUACUUUAUAUGAUUUAUGGUGUUCAGAU
This 212-nucleotide long non-coding RNA is filed under the name Mytilus galloprovincialis (Mediterranean mussel). The record is from RNAcentral. Lineage: Eukaryota; Metazoa; Mollusca; Bivalvia; Mytilida; Mytilidae.